RNAcentral lists this ribosomal RNA (255 nucleotides) under uncultured bacterium. RNAcentral describes it as "partial 16S ribosomal RNA". It matches the Rfam family "Bacterial small subunit ribosomal RNA", at positions 524 to 776 of the family's 1533-position model. The record is from RNAcentral.
UACGUAGGGUGCAAGCGUUGUCCGGAAUUAUUGGGCGUAAAGAGCUCGUAGGCGGUCUGUCGCGUCGGCUGUGAAAUCCCGAGGCUCAACCUCGGGUCUGCAGUCGAUACGGGCAAACUAGAGUAUUGCAGGGGAGACUGGAAUUCCUGGUGUAGCGGUGAAAUGGCGCAGAUAUCAGGAGGAACACCGGUGGCGAAGGCGGGUCUCUGGGCAAUAACUGACGCUGGAGGAGCGAAAGCGUGGGGAGCGAACAGG